RNAcentral lists this ribosomal RNA (392 nucleotides) under uncultured bacterium. RNAcentral describes it as "bacterial SSU rRNA". It matches the Rfam family "Bacterial small subunit ribosomal RNA", at positions 29 to 420 of the family's 1533-position model. The record is from RNAcentral.
AUUGAACGCUGGCGGCAUGCCUUACACAUGCAAGUCGAACGGCAGCACGGGGGCAACCCUGGUGGCGAGUGGCGAACGGGUGAGUAAUACAUCGGAACGUAUCCAGUCGUGGGGGAUAACCAGUCGAAAGAUUGGCUAAUACCGCAUGAGAUCGAAAGAUGAAAGCGGGGGACCCGCAAGGGCCUCGCGCGAUCGGAGCGGCCGAUGUCGGAUUAGCUAGUUGGCGGGGUAAGAGCCCACCAAGGCGACGAUCCGUAGCUGGUUUGAGAGAACGACCAGCCACACUGGGACUGAGACACGGCCCAGACUCCUACGGGAGGCAGCAGUGGGGAAUUUUGGACAAUGGGGGCAACCCUGAUCCAGCCAUGCCGCGUGUGUGAAGAAGGCCUCGG